This 1873-nucleotide long non-coding RNA is filed under the name Homo sapiens (human). RNAcentral's name for it is "HSALNT0369612". The record is from RNAcentral. Lineage: Eukaryota; Metazoa; Chordata; Mammalia; Primates; Hominidae.
AGUCACAGCUGCUGUUUCGGCGCGGGGCCGGGCCGCUGCCGCGACGUGUGGAGGCAGGAGAGCGAUGAUUGCCGCAGGAGAAGUGCGGGCGCCCUUCACCUGGGGCCCCUCCCGAACCGCCCCCGGGCCCAUGCCCCUCCAGGGCCCAGGAGCGAGCCAGCGGGAGGGCGAGGGCGAGCGCUCCUGGCGAGGACAGAUUAAGGCGAACCCCCAGUCAGCGGACAUUUGAGCGGCUCCUCGCCGCGUCUCUGCCCCCACUCCAAACCGGACUCGACGCCUGUCCCGGGCCGUGACGCACGCACCGGAGGAAAAAGUGCUUCUCGGCUCGCUCCCUCUUUGGGGAAGAGAGCUCACUCCCCAUGCGGGCGCGGGACACUCCAUCUCUGUUCCUGCCGGUCGGGUCCGCAAACACCGGGGAUCCCAGCUGCGGCGCCCAAAGGGUUAACGCAGGCGUUCGGCCAGUGCAAACCGGCCUCGCAGGAUCCGCGCUUAAAAUCCGGGUGUUUUCAUUUUGGGUUUGUUUCUUCUACUAUGCCAAGCUGGUGGCUCUCUUUUAAUUCUCUUGUAACAUCUCAACCCUGCACCCAUCUUUCCUGAGGGGAAAAGGAAACGGGAUAACUUGCGGUAUUUCGAUGCUCAAAGGUAACCGGCGGCUCUGCUCCAACCUUCAAGAGAUUUUGCAAGUUGAAAAAAAAAAAAAAACCAUCCUUCGUAACAUCUACUUAAAAAAAAAAAAGCAAGUUUUCCUUCUUGUACACGCAUAUACACAGUAAAGAUGUGUAUCUUACCUAAGAUACCGCGCUUCAUCUUCAUCUAAUCUUUAUUUGAACUCACCGUCGCCACUGGCCCAGAGACCUUGUCAGUGUUAUUUUCAGUAUCAGUUAAUCAGAACAAAAAGAUAAGUUCUGCAAUCUUCUUUCUCUUAAUUCCAGAACUGGAAAAUUAAUAUUUAUAUAGCCUCCUCAAAAGCAUACAGGCAAUAGGAAGUAUGGUAUUAUGUUCACGAUCUGAUGAUAGCAUUUGUUUUAAAAUAUUUUAAAAGAUUAGACACAAAAUGUGUAAAAGACGUUUAAAAGUGAAUAAAUAUAAAUCAAUGCUGUUGCAAAUAAUUUUUUUAUCAGUUUAUGUAUCUCACUAGGCUUGACAUUACCAGCCUUCUGAGCUGUGCCCUUGAUGUGUAAGAUAAACGAACAUUGAACAGAAUGAUAGCAUUUUUCCUCUCUUCAGUCACUGAUGGAGAAUUGGUUAAUGUGGUACAAUAAAUAGCCCUUCCUGACACUAUUUCAAAUCUUUUUAACAGAAGAAUAACCUAAAUUUCACCUAAUAAAUUUCAAUAUUAUUUCCCCCUAAAAUAUCUUUCAAAACGACUCAGAGACAUUUAAGAAUCACUGGCUUUUUUCCAACUUUUCCUCCAAGGAAGUUACAAUACAAUGUUGAAUUAUGUAUUCUACUUUAAUCAAGAAUUUGACAUUAAAGUAAUAUGUGAAUCAUUGCUAUAGUACACUAGCAAAAUGGGUAAUAAACUAGAAUCUGUUCACUUUGUGGGUUUGUUCCAGUUCCAGAUUAUAAAAUGAAUGCUCUUAAAGUGUUGUGGUCAUGAAACAAUUAUUGAGCAUCUUUAUUUAAGAACACGAUUCAAUUAAGUUUUCAUUUAUAUCGAUAAAUCUAUAAAUGAAACAUACGGAAUAUAUAUAUUCAUGUAUAUCCAUAAAUGAAAACGUGUGUGUGUGUGUAUCCCGGAACAUAUUUGUAUGCAUUUUAAUGAAAUGUGAGUCAUAUGCAAUGACAAACUUUUACUGUCAUAGUCAAGAAAAUUGUACUGUAGUUUGGUUUUUAUAUUUUUAUUCUUCAAAUAGGAAAUAAAGGGUGAAAG